This 222-nucleotide ribosomal RNA is filed under the name uncultured bacterium. RNAcentral describes it as "partial 16S ribosomal RNA". It matches the Rfam family "Bacterial small subunit ribosomal RNA", at positions 111 to 334 of the family's 1533-position model. The record is from RNAcentral.
UAACAUAUCGGAACGUAUCCUUAAGUGGGGGACGAACCUAGCGAAAGUUAGGCUAAUACCGCAUACGCAGGGAACUGGAAAGUGGGGGAGUCGCAAGACCUCACGCUUUUGGAGCGGCCGAUAUCAGAUUAGCUUGUUGGUGAGGUAAAGGCUCACCAAGGCGACGAUCUGUAGCUGGUCUGAGAGGAUGAUCAGCCACACUGGGACUGAGACACGGCCCAG